ACGUAGGGUGCGAGCGUUAAUCGGAAUUACUGGGCGUAAAGCGUGCGCAGGCGGGCUUUUAAGCCAGACGUGAAAUCCCCGGGCUCAACCUGGGAAUGGCGUUUGGGACUGGAAGUCUGGAGUGCGGCAGAGGAGACUGGAAUUCCUGGUGUAGCAGUGAAAUGCGUAGAUAUCAGGAGGAACACCGAUGGCGAAGGCAGGUCUCUGGGCUGACACUGACGCUCAUGCACGAAAGCGUGGGGAGCAAACAGGA
This 253-nucleotide ribosomal RNA is filed under the name uncultured prokaryote. Its description in RNAcentral is "partial 16S ribosomal RNA". It matches the Rfam family "Bacterial small subunit ribosomal RNA", at positions 525 to 777 of the family's 1533-position model. The record is from RNAcentral.